ACUCCUACGGGAGGCAGCAGUAGGGAAUAUUGCGCAAUGGAGGAAACUCUGACGCAGCGACGCCGCGUGUGUGAUGAAGGCUUUCGGGUCGUAAAGCACUGUCAGAAGGGAAGAAAACCACCUUGGAAAUACUUGGGUGGCUUGACGGUACCUUCGAAGGAAGCACCGGCUAACUACGUGCCAGCAGCCGCGGUAAUACGUAGGGUGCUAACGUUGUUCGGAAUUAUUGGGCGUAAAGCGCGUGUAGGUUGCCAGAUAAGUUGGAUGUGAAAGCCCUCGGCUUAACCGGGGAAGAGCAUCCAAACUGUCUGGCUAGAGGAUGGUAGAGGAAGGUGGAAUUCCUAGUGUAGAGGUGAAAUUCGUAGAUAUUAGGAGGAAUACCUGUGGCGAAGGCGGCCUUCUGGGCCAUUCCUGACACUGAGACGCGAAAGCGUGGGGUAGCAAACAGGAUUAGAUACCCUGGUAGGCUCUGCU
Molecule: ribosomal RNA, 474 nt
Filed under: uncultured bacterium
Lineage: Bacteria
Description: bacterial SSU rRNA
Rfam family: Bacterial small subunit ribosomal RNA
Source: RNAcentral